Molecule: transfer RNA, 72 nt
Filed under: Dreissena polymorpha
Lineage: Eukaryota; Metazoa; Mollusca; Bivalvia; Myida; Dreissenidae
Rfam family: tRNA
About the family: Transfer RNA (tRNA) molecules are approximately 80 nucleotides in length. Their secondary structure includes four short double-helical elements and three loops (D, anti-codon, and T loops).
Source: Rfam by way of RNAcentral
GUUGUCGUGGCCUAGUGGUUAAGGCGAUGGACUACAAAUCUUCCCGCGCAGGUUCUAAUCCUGCCGACAUCG